Molecule: transfer RNA, 74 nt
Filed under: Ezakiella coagulans
Lineage: Bacteria; Bacillati; Bacillota; Tissierellia
Description: Bacteroides coagulans tRNA
Rfam family: tRNA
About the family: Transfer RNA (tRNA) molecules are approximately 80 nucleotides in length. Their secondary structure includes four short double-helical elements and three loops (D, anti-codon, and T loops).
Source: Rfam by way of RNAcentral
GGCGGCGUAGCUCAGCUGGCUAGAGCACACGGUUCAUACCCGUGGUGUCAGGAGUUCAAAUCUCUUCGCCGCUA